UCUUGUUGAAUGCUGGGGCCAAGAACACUGACCACACCAGCAGAGAAGGCACUGGCAAAGAAACCAGACUUCUGAAGGAGCCGCGCAUGUGGACACAGCAGCACAGACUCAGCUUGAUCUCCAGAACGCUUCUUCUGGGAGGACCCCUGCCUCUGUAUGGGAGAUGCCUGGGAGCGUCCAUGGGCCAGAUCCACUGGUGUCACCGUGCCUCGCUGGGCUGGCCCAGGAAAGUCAUUUUAGUUUUGUGUUGAAAGGGGGUGGGGCAUUGGGGAAACUUCUGGGCAGUUUUCUCAGGGCCGCAGCCUUGGAUUUGGGUAUCAUAUUCUGAAAUGACUGGAAUGGUCAGGAAAGCUCUCUGAGAAGGUGAUAUUUGGGCUAAGGCCUGCAUAGAGAUGUGGGGGGAGAAUAUUCUAGACCAAGGCCAUUGGGAUGGGCCGAGUUCAGGCCCAUCUUCUCUGAGUUCAGGGUUUGGGUGAAGCUGUCGUGGGCGUUUUAUGGCCUCUAAUGGUCCCUGUGAGCGCCCUUCCUAUGGGCACACAUCCCUCAUGGUGUCUGUCACAGUUCCAAGGGGGAAACCAGACUCUAUUUCCCAGCAUCCCUUGCGGCCAGGCCCCUCAUGUGACCUGAGCCCCCUCAUGUGACUCAGGCUUAACUAAUCAGAAACCUCCCAUGAGCCUUUGCCCAGGAAAAGAACUGGAGGAAGAUGGCAGCUGUGUGGAUCCCUGUGUGGGCACUGGGGCUGGCAGGGCUGGUGGACUCAGCGGGAGUGGGAAGGAAGAAGGUUGAUGUCCCCUCCCGGGGCCAGCAGAGUGAGCUGUGGGGUCAGGUUGAGUGGCCUUCCUUGGAGCAGCCCUUGUUGUGGGCUGGACAUUUGUAGCCAUGGAGUCUUUGCCCCCAUGAAGCGUCGGGACCUUCCUGAUGUCCACACUGGCCCCAAGGAAUUCGCUGCCUCUGGGUCUUGUUGGAAAUGCACUAUCUCAUAUCCCAGCCAGACUUGCUGAGUCGGGGUCUGCAUUUUAUCAAGACCCCUGGGGAUUUGUGUAUAAUGGGAGUCAGAGAAGUGUGAUCUGUAAUGAGCUACUCCUGCUUAAUGCAGCUGGACGGGUGGUCUUCUGUGGUUACAGCAAAGAACCCGAUGAUGCAGAAGCCAUGGGAGGGAUGUGACCAGGGAGUGAGAUGAUCGGGUUCAUCCUUUAUCCAUCCUGCUGCUGGACUGCAGACGGGCGAGACAGGCCAGCACGUAUCCAGAGAAAACACAUCUCUGACAAGACAAACAUGCAAAACCUGUGAAAAGACCCAGACACACACACCUGCAGGUGAAACUUAGACACACAUGCACACACACACAAACCCAGAAACAACCGUCUACACAGGCGCACAGAACCACAAACACACAAGCAGGGGUGGGGUGACUUCACCCCAGAACAUCCCCUUUCUUAUUUCCCUGGAUCUGCAAGAAGGAGCCGAGCCUGCCUGACUUUGGUCCCUCACUCACCACUAGACCUUGAAAGUGAAAUUGAAUAUCCACAAGCCCGUGACCUUGGGGUUCUGGAGAAUGGGUCCUGUAAUGAGUGUCAUGGCUCCAGGCCAGGUGAAAUGUAGGCGUUCCAGCCUCUGUCCGGGAGGGUCACUCGGCCCACUUGCUGAGGGCCGCAGAUCCAUGUGGCUCAAAUGCUAAUGGCUUUUCAGCUGGGGCUGCUAGAGCCCAGUGCAGGACCAUGGGCAGUGUGUUUGCUGGAGGCACUUUUGCCCUCGACAGGACAUUGCGGGCAGGCUACCUGCUGCGACCCAGGUUAGCACAAUGUGAUACGUGCCAUUUGUGCAGCAGCAGGGGACUGGGCAUAGAGACAGGGGACAUCAGCCUGUGCCCGUGAUCCAGCUGUAAACACAGAUUUAUACCCAGGCCAAAUCUAUCCACGAAUACAUUUCAAAGGAAUAAAAUCACAUUAGAGGGAUAGUAAUUGUGUAAUAUAUUGCACUUGAAAUUAGAAUUCUAUGAAAUCUCAUUAUUUAUGUCUAGACUAAAAGAGAUUGAGUUUUGGUUAUUGAACUACAUUUCCUGUUGCUCUGAUGAGGAAUGAUGCUUCUCUAAGAGCCGACUGUCUCAUUCCUGAAGCGUGGUGUUUUCAGAGCAGCACCACGAGGGGCUUCUGGAAGUCUCUUGGACUCAGGGUUGGUCUGGAGGGACAUUGGGGCUGCCCUGGCCUGCUUGUCCUCAGGCCCCUUCAUCCCCCUUCCCACGAGUCUCUGGGCUCACCCCGGUAGGCCACAUUUCCCAGGCUCUGACUGGGCUGGUGUCUGCCUGGAUUAGUGGUGGGGGGCUGUGGUGGAGGGUGGGGGCAGGAGGACCCAGGGCGCCUCCCUCUGCAGUGGCUGCAUCUCCCCCAUGGCUUCAGUCCCCGCUGUGGCCUGUUGAGCUGGGGACCCUACUCCCUCUCAUGGUCUACCCCAGGGUCAGUGACAGGUUGCUGUGCUGGCUGAUCCUCACCUCACAAGCUGCCUUUUGCCUUCUCAGCUUUCCAUGCAAAUCCCUGCAUUGUCCCUUCAUGGUGAAGCACCUGCAGUGACCCCUCUUUCCUUGGACCGUGGUGCAGACAUGCCCCUCACCAGGACACCCAGGCCUUUACCCCACCCAUUUCGUCCUCCUCUCAUCCUCACACACCCUCUGCCAUGGUGCCCAGACUCCCUGCUGUCCUGCACACCAGCCCCAGCACCUUCGCUCCUGCUGCCUGCUUGUCUGGAGUCCCCACCAUAGAAACAUCCCCUCUGUGAAGUCCCUGCUCACAUGUCAUCUCCGGAGACCACUCCCGAGCCUCCCACCUGCAGAUAGCAUCUGCUGGGACCUUCCAGAGCCUUUUUCUGUCCCCACUUGAGUGCUCAGCAAGAGUGCAUCUUGCAGUAGUCAAACGUGUUCAUUUGCAUUCAUUCUUUUAUUCAUCAAUUAUUCACCAAGUAUUCACUGAUGCUGACUGUGUGUAAAUCACUGUGAUACAGCAGGGUAAUCAGGAGUUUUUCCAUUGUAAGUGACGGAAAGCCCAACUCAAAUUGGCUUCAGUAAGAAGGAAAGUUUUUUGACAUAUAACAAUCCAUAGGUAUGUCAGCUUCAGGCAUGGCUGAAUCCAGGAGAGCAACUUAGGUCUCUGAAGGCUCUUUACACCUCUUGGCUCUACUUCAUGUUGGUGAUGAGCUGCAACAGUGUAAUGAGAAUUUAUUUGCACUUCUAAGUGGCAGAAAUCUCUAGAAUUGGCUUAAACACCAUUGUUUGUUGAUGCAAAUAACCACUCAGGGAUAGUUUAUCUUCAGGCAUGGCUGGAUCCAGGAGAUCUCCGUAAUUCUCUCCUGUUGCCUCUUACUGUGCUUCCUCUGUAUUGGCUGCUUCCUCAGACAGAAUCCCUCACUGUGGUGUCAAGAUACCUUCUAGGGGUCGUGAGGCUUGCAUCUCAGCCUCUCAGGAACCCUGCUGGAAGGGGAGGUGCUUGAUUUCUCCAGUCCUUCAAAACCAGAGUUUCAAAUUUUAGUUUCCUUGUCUCCCAAAGGUCUGGUUUUGGCCACACAUCCAUCUGUGUUCCUAUAAUUGUGGCCAGGGGAAUGCAGGGUUUUGAUUGUGCCUGACUCACAGGCCCAAUGAACCAAGCAUACAUUUCAGGCAAGUCAAAUAUAUGUGUGUAAACAAUGAAAGAUCAUAUAUAUUCAAUUCAAAAUUUGAUUUUGAGAAAAUUGUAGAUUCAUGUGCUGUUGUAAGAAGUAAUGCAGGACCUUUUGCAACUUUUACCCAGUUUCCCCAGUAGUAACUUCUGGCAAAAUGAUGGUCCAAUAUCACAGCCAGAGCAUUGCCAGUGAGGCCUUGUCGGGUGGAAAAGUGGCAGCCAUCCCAGCCAAAAUGUCAGCAGAUAGAUCUCCGUUGUGUUGUCAGAUGCGUCAUAUGCUUCUGUGCAUGCAUCAGUGUGUUUGUAAGACCACUGCACAGGGUGGCAGAGGUUCGCCACAGAGGCCACAGGUUACAAGGGUUUCGUGAGGUGUGGUUAGAUUGGAGGAGUUAUGCGUUAGCUUUAGAGGGGAAAAUGUUCUUACAUGGGUGUAAGAAACUGAAAAUUAGUUUCCCAAGAUGGUGGACCAGGAAUAUGUUCAUGCAUCUCUGUGUAAUUAAAAUUAGUUUUUAAAUAGAAAUAAAAUAGUGUCCAUUUCCCUGAA
Molecule: long non-coding RNA, 4191 nt
Filed under: Homo sapiens (human)
Lineage: Eukaryota; Metazoa; Chordata; Mammalia; Primates; Hominidae
Description: long non-coding RNA NONHSAT164279.1
Source: RNAcentral